GAUUAUCUUAUAACCUAAUCGGGAUUGAUCUAAUUGAAUUCAAUUCAAUUAGGCUUAAUCCAGACUUUAAUGCUCAAUCAAAUUGAGUUAAUCAGCAACCUAAUUGCUAACCAAUCCUUUCAAAUUUCACUAACAUUUAGCAAAUUAAUUUAUUGCAACUAUUGCACAGGGUUGAUCAUCAAUCGCAUUGAUAAUUUUACCCUCGAACGAUUCUUAAUCAUCGAUUUGCCAA
Molecule: long non-coding RNA, 232 nt
Filed under: Elaeis guineensis (African oil palm)
Lineage: Eukaryota; Viridiplantae; Streptophyta; Magnoliopsida; Arecales; Arecaceae
Description: long non-coding RNA (EGUI_LNC034730)
Source: RNAcentral